GAGGAACACGUACACAACCUUCCUUCAAGCGGGGAAUAGCCCAGAGAAUUGGAUUAAUACCCCAUAAUAUAUUUGAUAAGGCAUCUUAUUAAUAUUAAAGCUUCGGCACUUGAUGAUGGGUGUGCGGCUGAUUAGAUAGUUGGCGGGGUAACGGCCCACCAAGUCUACGAUCAGUAGCUGAUGUGAGAGCAUGAUCAGCCACACGGGCACUGAGACACGGGCCCGACUCCUACGGGAGGCAGCAGUAAGGAAUAUUGGACAAUGGACGAAAGUCUGAUCCAGCCAUGCCGCGUGAAGGAUUAAGGUCCUCUGGAUUGUAAACUUCUUUUAUAUGGGACGAAAAAAGGGCAUUCUUGUUCACUUGACGGUACCGUAUGAAUAAGCACCGGCUAACUCCGUG
This 400-nucleotide ribosomal RNA is filed under the name uncultured bacterium. RNAcentral's name for it is "bacterial SSU rRNA". It matches the Rfam family "Bacterial small subunit ribosomal RNA", at positions 108 to 507 of the family's 1533-position model. The record is from RNAcentral.